GGCUGGCUUUGAUGGGGCUGGUGGUACCAGUGGGGCUGGUUCUGGUAGGGCUGGCUAUGGGGCUGGUUCCGGUAGGGCUGGCUAUGGGGCUGGUUCCGGUAGGGCUGGCAAUGGGGCUGGUGGUACCAGUAGGGCUGGUUCCGGUAGGGCUGGUUCAGGUAGGGCUGGUGGUACCAAUAGGGCUGGUUCUGGUGGUGCUCUCAAUGGGUCCAGUGGUACCGGUGGUACCGGUUCUGGUGGUGCCGUCAAUGAUGGGUCCGGUGGUACCGGUUCUGAUGGUACCGGUUCUGGUGGUACCAGUGUUGGUGGUUCUGGUAUUGCUGGUACCGGUGUCUGUAUGGUACCAAUGGGGGCUGUUGUGGUUCCGGUUCCGGUUCUGGUUCCGGUUCUGGUUCUGGUUCUGGUCCCGGUGUCGCUCUAUGAUGGAGCUGGGGGGUUCCCAGGGGGUGACACGGGGAUGGAGCUGAUGGAGCUGGAACUGGGGGGGGG
This 489-nucleotide long non-coding RNA is filed under the name Coturnix japonica (Japanese quail). RNAcentral's name for it is "lncRNA (ENSCJPG00005006752.1)". The record is from RNAcentral. Lineage: Eukaryota; Metazoa; Chordata; Aves; Galliformes; Phasianidae.